RNAcentral lists this non-coding RNA (882 nucleotides) under Barbuligobius boehlkei (cryptic bearded goby). RNAcentral describes it as "partial 12S rRNA". It matches the Rfam family "Bacterial small subunit ribosomal RNA", at positions 192 to 1533 of the family's 1533-position model. Lineage: Eukaryota; Metazoa; Chordata; Actinopteri; Gobiiformes; Gobiidae. The record is from RNAcentral.
GCCCCCGUGAGAAUGCCCUAUCUUUGCCCCACCUGGAAGAAAGGAGCCGGUCUCAGGCACAAACCUUAGCCCAAGACACCUUGCUUAGCCACACCCACACGGGCCUACCAGCAGUAAUAAACAUUGAGCCAUGAGUGAAAGCUUGACUCAGUAAUAUCAAGAGGGCCGGUCAAACUCGUGCCAGCCACCGCGGUUAUACGAGAGGCCCAAGUUGACAACAAUCGGCGUAGAGAGUGGUUAAUAAGUUUUUUACUAAAGCCAAACACCUUCUAGACUGUUAUACGUUACCGAAAAAAGGAAGUCCAACCACGAAAGUAGCUUUAUGUCUAUGACCCCACGAAAGCUAGGGAACAAACUGGGAUUAGAUACCCCACUAUGCCUAGCCCUAAACAAAAGUAUUUUAUUACCCCAACAUUCGCCAGGGAACAACGAGCCCCAGCUUAAAACCCAAAGGACUUGGCGGUGCUUUAAACCCACCUAGAGGAGCCUGUUCUUGAACCGAUACUCCCCGUUUAACCUCACCCCCUCUUGUUUAACCCGCCUAUAUACCGCCGUCGUCAGUUUACCCUGUGAGGGACCACUUAGUAAGCAAAAAUGUCACAGCCCAAAACGUCAGGUCGAGGUGUAGCGUAUGAGGGGGGAAGAAAUGGGCUACAUUUACUGACCCAGUACAAACGAACUUUGCUAUGAAACUAGCACAUGAAGGAGGAUUUAGCAGUAAGGAGAGGAAUAGAGUGCCCCCCUGAAACCGGCCCUAAAGCGCGCACACACCGCCCGUCACUCUCCCCAAAAACAAUAAAACCAAUACCUAAUAAAAUAGAAACUAAAAGGGGAGGCAAGUCGUAACAUGGUAAGUGUACCGGAAGGUGCACUUGGAAAAAU